Long non-coding RNA from Bradysia coprophila, 508 nucleotides. The record is from RefSeq and is a predicted model, not a curated record. Lineage: Eukaryota; Metazoa; Arthropoda; Insecta; Diptera; Sciaridae.
AAUGUCAGUGCUACAAAUGUGCAUCUUUUCUGCUAUAUUGCGUUGAUGGUAGUUCGGAAUGUGGUCAAGAAUUUUCACGUUGUCGAAAUCGAAACGAUGUCCCUCCUUAACGGCGUGUAUCGGUUGCCAGUGGUUUCAGUCAAUUCCUUCUCCCUUCUGUCUGAUAUCGCUCUUAUGUUUGACAGGUUCAUGAUUCGCUGUUUCGUUUGGCCUGGCUAUUUGGCUGGACAAUCCAGACAGUCAACACGAUAUACAAUUUUCGAUUUCAUGCUCUUCGGUACUGGAUAUUUCGUUUUCGUGAAAACAUUGCCGAUGUUAUUCGUCGUUUUACAUCCCAAUGCCAUGUCGUAUUCGUUCAUCGUCUUAUUAAUCCUUUCAGGUAAUCCAGGUUUUUUACUUUUCCAAUGAUUUGUGGACUGUCUAUCGGGUUCGUGAAAGAUAUUGCACGAUCGGUGAUUGCACUGGCUAUGUUCCUUUUAUGUGUCGUCGGAUUAUGGCCUUGGAAAUG